Molecule: long non-coding RNA, 1054 nt
Organism: Bombina bombina (fire-bellied toad)
Lineage: Eukaryota; Metazoa; Chordata; Amphibia; Anura; Bombinatoridae
Exons: 2
Source: RefSeq, a predicted model, not a curated record
GGGGAGAGGACCUCGCAAACCUGGGAACUGCCUUACUGUCCGGCAGGAGUUAUUGAGGUUGCCAGGAUCUGGCUGAGGAUUUUCGAUCGCAGGAGAUUGAUGGGCAGGCGUUGUUGUUGCUGAAGGAGGAGCAUCUCAUGAGCACAUUGAACAUUAAAUUGGGACCUGCGUUGAAGAUCUGUGCCAAAAUUAACCUCCUCAAAGAGUCCUAACCUCCCUAUUAUUACACCAAGCAUGAGAGGAACAGCACCAACAAGGAGUGCAGAGGGUUGCACCAACAGAUUUCUAGCUGAAUCGGGGCUAGAGAGCUCCUAAUUGUGGCAUCAUCUGUCUCCACAUCUGCUCUGGACUCUCAUUUAUCAUCUCCUUGAUUAUUACUCUUUAAAUAUAUAUCUUCUAUACGUCUGUAUCUAUUUACAUGUGUGUUUCCAAUCGGUGACUGCACAUUACUGCAGAAUGGUGCCUCUUUUCUAUAGACGUGUGCAGGCCAAAGUCUGUAUAAUAAUCUUGAAAUAAAUCAGACGUUUGUCUGAAAGGAAGAGAGUCCUAAUAGGUGGGGUGACAGAGGAUUCUCUAUGUGGAUUUGUUAAUAGAGGUACAGGGACCUUAUCAAGCUUCCUACCUGUGCGUUACUGAAUGUAUGUAGGUUAUAUGGGUAGCCUUAAUGCAACACUACUUUGUACCCUUAGCGCUGUUUGUCCUUGCAGUGCUCACUAGGUAAAUAAUCCAGCGUUCCUUGUAUUCCAGACUGUUACUUGUGGAGUCUGAGCCUUAAUAUUCUGCUGGACCACACAGUACUCACAGAUUAGUAUUACACCAUCUACAAUGGUGAUUCCUUCUUGGCACUUAGCAAUUUUAGUACCUGCAUUGCUCUUAAGGAGCCUGUGCUGUAAUAUAAACCUCCAGCUCCUUUUUUCUAUCUAUUAUAUAUGCUUUUAUGUAAGAGCUCUGCAGGAUAAGGAAGAGAGAAUUGGUUUGUUAUAUUUUGUCAGCACUUGAACACAUUGAAAUAAAGGUAUUGAUCAUUUAGACCGUAGGGUCACUCUAUAUCAAA